This is a long non-coding RNA of Oryzias melastigma (Indian medaka), 1342 nucleotides long. RefSeq lists it as uncharacterized. NCBI's taxonomy places the organism in Eukaryota, Metazoa, Chordata, Actinopteri, Beloniformes, Adrianichthyidae. The transcript is spliced from 3 exons. The record is from RefSeq and is a predicted model, not a curated record.
UCUGCUUCUCCUGGGGGUCGUUUCAGUUUGGCCACUAGGUGGCGAUCGCGCUGUAGAAGUACACCUUAAUCCAGAAGAAGACAACAGUAUAAGGGGGAAAAACGAUGUUUUGGACCCCAAAUAGUUACUUUAAAAAAUAUUUCCUUAAAAGAGUUUGGAACAUCAAUGCCUCGUCCUGUUUACUCUCCGGGCCUGUGGCCGUGCCACCUCAGAGACUCUCCAGACCACCAAGGCCCUGGCGACUGACUUGGAUCGGUCAUUGACAGCCUUCGGCGUCGGAACAACAGGGAACGGCCUGGCAGAGUGAACAGAGACCCCAUACCAGGCCGACGGGGUGAGCCAGAGGGAUGAGUAAAUACAUGACUGAUGGAAAGUGGCUCAGUGUGGUGGGACCUCCUGACCAGCAGCAGAGCCCAGCCUGGAGGUGAUAUGGAGCCAAACAGAUGACCCAGCAGCAGGAAACCUCUGAGGUCAUUAAAGGCUUCGGUAUGGCCAUUUGAUCAGAGUGGAAACCUCUGAACAAAAACAUUGGAUAAAGCAAGCUGUUGCACCCCCUGGCCCUUCUGGACAUCAAUCUAUGAGGCCGGGAGUCCCUUUCAUUUUACAAGUCAUGGCCGCUUACAGAUUUUGAAGACUAUCGCUGCAGAGAUGGCUCUUCAAACUGCUAAAAUAUGUUAAAACAGCAAAAAUUAUGAUAAAAAAAUACAAAUUUACCCAAUGUGAUUGAAGCAAAUUUUCUUUAUCUUUACUGUUUUGUCUAUUUAAUAAAUAUUUGUGCAACUAAUCGAAGCAUGAAUUGAUUUGAGAGUUAAAAAAAGAUUAAAAGAACUAGAAAAUAGGACUUAAAUCCUAAAAAUAUUCACACAAUUCCUCACUUUGAACUGUUUUCUAAAAGGGCCUCACACUGGGUUUAAAUUUCACAUAAACUGAUAACCACUGAGCAAAGAAAAGGUCAGUCCAUGCGUAGAAGAACUGGAUUUGCUCAUUUUUGAUCACUGCCACAUUCUCUUCAAGGUUGCAGCAAAUCCCUCUCCAUCUAUUUGCAGGUUAUUGGCUGUAUUUUUCUGUUAUAUAAUAAAAGAGUAACAUUGACUGAUAUGUCUAGAAACCGGAUAAAUAAUCAGGAUCAGCACUAGAGCUACUUUCAAUCAGUCAUUAAUACUUUUGGAACAGAUCAUUUCAAUAAAAGUCAAUUAAAUUUAAUGGUGAAGCUAAAUGUCUGUGUCUAUUGGGUCAGAUCAGAAUCAGCUUAAAGUGAACGAAAAAAACAGAUUGUACACUUGAAAAAUAGACGUAAGUAAAAAAAAAAUAAAAUAAAAUUUGAAACCUGAAAAAAAGAAUU